ACCGAUGGUGUCGAUCACCGCCGCUGUAGGUAGCACGCUCUUCCCGGCACCCGUAUAUACAGGCUCAAGCCAGAGGAGUCGAUGGGUAGGAGUCAAUGGGUUGGAUCAAUCGGUGGAAAUUAUGUGUAAGUUCUCGGAGCAGUACUCACAGCGGUCCAACACCUUCUUCCACCACUCCAUGGCGAUUGUUGGGUCGCUGGACAUGAAGCAAAGGACGUGACCAUGGAAGCCAUGCCACAAGCUGCUGAGCAUCGGACCAAGUGAUGAGUAAACCAACUAACUUCGCCAAGCACCUAGCCGACCCGAAGGUGUGUGCCAUCAUCGCAAAGAUGAUGGUGAAUGUCAACCAUGGGUUCCUGUGAACGUUGAUGGCUUGCUGUAGCCAUGGUGGUUGUGACGCUUGGCCUCGGCUACAACCUACCUGAUACAUGUGGCCCUGAUGCAGUAGACAUCAAGGGGAGAAGUGGAGUUGAUCCCUGGCCAGGAGGGCGGGAGCCUUGAUGUCAUGGUGCCUUUUAUGAUCUGGGCAGUUUGGUGAUGAGUAAACCAAUCCUCUUCGUCAAGCACCAAGCCAACCCAAAGGUUGGUGCCGUCAUAGCCAAGAUGAUGGUGAAGGUCAACCAUGGGUCCCUCUGAAUGUUGAUGGCUCACCAUAGCUAUGGUGGUUGUCAUUGAACCUUGGCUACAACCUACCUGUGAUGAAUAACUCAAAAGAAGCAAGCCAACCACAAGCUGGUUCCCACCAUAGCAAAGAUCAUGGUGAAGGUCAACGGCAGGUCCUAGUUAACAUCAAGCUC
Lolium rigidum is the source of this 797-nucleotide long non-coding RNA. RefSeq lists it as uncharacterized. Lineage: Eukaryota; Viridiplantae; Streptophyta; Magnoliopsida; Poales; Poaceae. The record is from RefSeq and is a predicted model, not a curated record. The transcript is spliced from 8 exons.